UACGUAGGGCGCAAGCGUUAUCCGGAAUUAUUGGGCGUAAAGAGCUCGUAGGCGGUUUGUCGCGUCUGCCGUGAAAGUCCGGGGCUCAACUCCGGAUCUGCGGUGGGUACGGGCAGACUAGAGUGAUGUAGGGGAGACUGGAAUUCCUGGUGUAGCGGUGAAAUGCGCAGAUAUCAGGAGGAACACCGGUGGCGAAGGCGGGUCUCUGGGCAGUAACUGACGCUGAGGGGCGAAAGCGUGGGGAGCGAACAGG
This 253-nucleotide ribosomal RNA is filed under the name uncultured bacterium. Its description in RNAcentral is "partial 16S ribosomal RNA". It matches the Rfam family "Bacterial small subunit ribosomal RNA", at positions 524 to 776 of the family's 1533-position model. The record is from RNAcentral.